UACCGACGGCCCGAGUGGUAGCCACUCUUAUUGGGCCUAAAGCGUCCGUAGCCGGUCCAGUAAGUCCCUGUUUAAAUUCUCUGGCUUAACCAGAGGACUGGCAGGGAUACUGCUGGACUUGGGACCGGGAGAGGACAAGGGUACUCCAGGGGUAGCGGUGAAAUGUGUUGAUCCUUGGAGGACCACCUAUGGCGAAGGCACUUGUCUGGAACGGGUCCGACGGUGAGGGACGAAAGCCAGGGGCG
Molecule: ribosomal RNA, 245 nt
Filed under: uncultured Methanococcus sp.
Lineage: Archaea; Methanobacteriati; Methanobacteriota; Methanococci; Methanococcales; Methanococcaceae
Description: partial 16S ribosomal RNA
Rfam family: Archaeal small subunit ribosomal RNA
Source: RNAcentral